RNAcentral lists this small RNA (199 nucleotides) under Salmonella enterica subsp. enterica serovar Typhisuis. Its description in RNAcentral is "STnc540". It matches the Rfam family "Enterobacterial sRNA STnc540". The record is from RNAcentral. Lineage: Bacteria; Pseudomonadati; Pseudomonadota; Gammaproteobacteria; Enterobacterales; Enterobacteriaceae.
UCAGAUCCAGGCAUAACAUCCAUCAGGGUGUAUUGCGGCAGAUACGCUGCCAUCCCGAAAGUAGAUCAGCGGGAUGACAGCGUAUCUGUCAGCCUGAAAGAUGACCCGUAUAACUAAAAAGGCCGCAUUGCGGCCUUUUUUCUUUCAAUUGACCCGUCCUGAAUAGCGUUGACACGUUCCAGACUUAAAUCCGGAGAAC